RNAcentral lists this long non-coding RNA (670 nucleotides) under Homo sapiens (human). RNAcentral describes it as "HSALNT0359312". The record is from RNAcentral. Lineage: Eukaryota; Metazoa; Chordata; Mammalia; Primates; Hominidae.
AACAGAGCAAGACCCCUUGUAAAAAUUUUUAAAUAGUUAAAAAGAAAAGAAAAGAAAAAAGGGGGGCCAGACACGGUGGCUCACACCUGUAAUCCCGGCACUUUGUGAGGCUGAGGCAGGCAGAUCACGAGGUCAGGAGUUCGAGACCAGCCUGGCCAACAUGGUGAAACCCCAUCUCUACUAAAAAUACAAAAAUUAGCCAAGCAUGGUGGCACCCACCUGCAAUCCCAGCUACUUGGGAAACUGAGGCAGGAGAAUCACUUGAACCUGGGAGGUGGAGGUUACAGUGAGCCAAGAUCAUGCCACUGCAUUCCAGCCUAGGUGACAGAGCGAGACUCCAUCUCAAAAAAAAAAAAAGAAAGAAAGAAAAAGAAAAGAACCCAAUUAAAAAGUGGGCAAGGCUGGACGAGGUGGCUCACGCCUGUAAUCCCAACACUUUGGGAGGCCAAGGCAGGUGGAUCACAAGGUCAGGGGUUCAAGAACAGCCUGGCCAACAUAGUGAAACCCCGUCUCUACUAAAAAUACAGAAAAUUAGCCCAUCGUGGUGGUAGGCACCUGUUAUCCCAACUACUCGGGAGGCUGAGGCAGGAAAAUCACUUGAACCUGGGAGGUGGAGGUUGCAGUGAGCCAAUAUCCUGCCAUUGCACUCCAGCCUAGGUGACAGUGCGAG